GAACGCUGGCGGCAGGCCUAACACAUGCAAGUCGGACGGUAGCACAGAGAGCUUGCUCUUGGGUGACGAGUGGCGGACGGGUGAGUAAUGUCUGGGGAUCUGCCCGAUAGAGGGGGAUAACCACUGGAAACGGUGGCUAAUACCGCAUAACGUCGCAAGACCAAAGAGGGGGACCUUCGGGCCUCUCACUAUCGGAUGAACCCAGAUGGGAUUAGCUAGUAGGCGGGGUAAUGGCCCACCUAGGCGACGAUCCCUAGCUGGUCUGAGAGGAUGACCAGCCACACUGGAACUGAGACACUUGCC
This 303-nucleotide ribosomal RNA is filed under the name uncultured Pantoea sp. RNAcentral's name for it is "bacterial SSU rRNA". It matches the Rfam family "Bacterial small subunit ribosomal RNA", at positions 31 to 332 of the family's 1533-position model. The record is from RNAcentral. Lineage: Bacteria; Pseudomonadati; Pseudomonadota; Gammaproteobacteria; Enterobacterales; Erwiniaceae.